GAGAUGGAAAAUAAAACUUAAACGUCAAGAAUGUUCAAUAAUAAAAAGUAUUGCCCGAGUCUUAUAUUGCUUAAGGUGAAAUUUGAUGAAGGAUAGAAGCGAACCUUGACCCAAUACCUAUAUAGAGGUAAGAACCAAAGGUAUAAAAAUAUGGUUGAACGCCACACCGGUUUGGUGAUAAGUUUAAUUGAGUUUGGAUGGAUGCCACUAGCAAGCUAGAUAAGUUGCUUCGAGACUCGAACG
This 243-nucleotide long non-coding RNA is filed under the name Gossypium barbadense (sea-island cotton). RNAcentral describes it as "long non-coding RNA (GBAR_LNC020042)". Lineage: Eukaryota; Viridiplantae; Streptophyta; Magnoliopsida; Malvales; Malvaceae. The record is from RNAcentral.